GACGAACGCUGGCGGCGUGCCUAAUACAUGCAAGUCGAGCGGACCGGAUUGGGGCUUGCCUUGAUUCGGUCAGCGGCGGACGGGUGAGUAACACGUGGGCAACCUGCCCGCAAGACCGGGAUAACUCCGGGAAACCGGAGCUAAUACCGGAUAACACCGAAGACCGCAUGGUCUUCGGUUGAAAGGCGGCCUUUGGGCUGUCACUUGCGGAUGGGCCCGCGGCGCAUUAGCUAGUUGGUGAGGUAACGGCUCACCAAGGCGACGAUGCGUAGCCGGCCUGAGAGGGGGACCGGCCACACUGGGACUGAGACACGGCCCAGACUCCUACGGGAGGCAGCAGUAGGGAAGCUUCCGCAAUGGGCGAAAGCCUGACGGAGCGACGCCGCGUGAGCGAAGAAGGCCUUCGGGUCGUAAAGCUCUGUUGUGAGGGACGAAGGAGCGUCGUUCGAAGAGGGCGGCGCGGUGACGGUACCUCACGAGAAAGCCCCGGCUAACUACGUG
This 501-nucleotide ribosomal RNA is filed under the name uncultured bacterium. RNAcentral describes it as "partial 16S ribosomal RNA". It matches the Rfam family "Bacterial small subunit ribosomal RNA", at positions 28 to 507 of the family's 1533-position model. The record is from RNAcentral.